This 327-nucleotide ribosomal RNA is filed under the name uncultured eukaryote. RNAcentral describes it as "partial 18S ribosomal RNA". It matches the Rfam family "Eukaryotic small subunit ribosomal RNA", at positions 1470 to 1796 of the family's 1831-position model. The record is from RNAcentral.
CCCUUAGAUGUUCUGGGCCGCACGCGCGCUACACUGACGAAUGCAACGAGCUUAUAACCUUGGCCGAAAGGUCUGGGUAAUCUCCAAAUUUCGUCGUGAUGGGGAUAGAUUAUUGCAAUUAUUAAUCUUCAACGAGGAAUGCCUAGUAAGCGCAAGUCAUCAGCUUGCGUUGAUUACGUCCCUGCCCUUUGUACACACCGCCCGUCGCUCCUACCGAUUGAAUGGUCCAGUGAAGCGUUCGGACCGUGGCCUUUGGACGGUUCGCCGUCUGUUGGCUGCGGGAAGUUCGUUAAACCUUAUCAUUUAGAGGAAGGAGAANUCGUANCA